GAUGAACGCUGGCGGCGUGCCUAAUACAUGCAAGUCGAGCGAACAGAUGAGGAGCUUGCUCCUCUGACGUUAGCGGCGGACGGGUGAGUAACACGUGGAUAACCUACCUAUAAGACUGGGAUAACUUCGGGAAACCGGAGCUAAUACCGGAUAAUAUAUUGAACCGCAUGGUUCAAUAGUGAAAGACGGUUUUGCUGUCACUUAUAGAUGGAUCCGCGCCGCAUUAGCUAGUUGGUAAGGUAACGGCUUACCAAGGCAACGAUGCGUAGCCGACCUGAGAGGGUGAUCGGCCACACUGGAACUGAGAGACGGUCCAGAAUCCUACGGAAGGCAGCAGUAGGGAAUCUUCCGCAAUGGGCGAAAGCCUGACGGAGCAACGCCGCGUGAGUGAUGAAGGUCUUCGGAUCGUAAAACUCUGUUAUUAGGGAAGAACAAAUGUGUAAGUAACUAUGCACGUCUUGACGGUACCUAAUCAGAAAGCCACGGCUAAGUACGUG
RNAcentral lists this ribosomal RNA (497 nucleotides) under uncultured bacterium. RNAcentral describes it as "partial 16S ribosomal RNA". It matches the Rfam family "Bacterial small subunit ribosomal RNA", at positions 28 to 507 of the family's 1533-position model. The record is from RNAcentral.